Schistosoma mansoni is the source of this 45-nucleotide non-coding RNA. NCBI's taxonomy places the organism in Eukaryota, Metazoa, Platyhelminthes, Trematoda, Strigeidida, Schistosomatidae. The record is from Rfam.
AUCCAACUAACGAGUCCCAAAUAGGACGAAACGCGCGUCCUGGAU